This 427-nucleotide ribosomal RNA is filed under the name uncultured bacterium. Its description in RNAcentral is "bacterial SSU rRNA". It matches the Rfam family "Bacterial small subunit ribosomal RNA", at positions 29 to 500 of the family's 1533-position model. The record is from RNAcentral.
AAUGAACGCUGGCGGCAGGCCUAACACAUGCAAGUCGAGCGAAGCCUUCGGGUUUAGUGGCGGACGGGUGAGUAACGCGUGGGAACGUGCCCUUUGGUUCGGAAUAGCCCUGGGAAACUGGGAGUAAUACCGAAUGUGCCCUUCGGGGGAAAGAUUUAUCGCCAAAGGAUCGGCCCGCGUUGGAUUAGGUAGUUGGGUGGGGUAAUGGCCCACCAAGCCGACGAUCCAUAGCUGGUUUGAGAGGAUGAUCAGCCACACUGGGACUGAGACACGGCCCAGACUCCUACGGGAGGCAGCAGUGGGGAAUCUUAGACAAUGGGGGAAACCCUGAUCUAGCCAUGCCGCGUGAUCGAUGAAGGCCUUAGGGUUGUAAAGAUCUUUCAGAUGGGAAGAUAAUGACGGUACCAUCAGAAGAAGCCCCGGCUAA